Molecule: non-coding RNA, 355 nt
Organism: Chiloscyllium plagiosum (whitespotted bambooshark)
Lineage: Eukaryota; Metazoa; Chordata; Chondrichthyes; Orectolobiformes; Hemiscylliidae
Source: RefSeq, a predicted model, not a curated record
UCACCUGGUGCAUGGAACUGCAGUUUCCAGUCGACACGUCCAUCCUGGUUAGGGGUUUAUCCGUUUCGUCGAUGCCCCGGCCCAGAGUCCAACCUUUCCCUCUGGCUGAAUCGCAGUAACUUCCGCAAGUCGAGAACUUGGUUGGGGAGCUCACCUUGACUCAUUCAGAUUGUACCGCCCUGUGCAGUUUGACGGAGGAGGUUGAACACCAAAUGGGGGCUGGACGUGGCAAGGAAAUGUGGCAAGAAUGAAUUCUUGGUGAAAAACCUCAAGGUCCAUUGCCAGGUGUGGCCUAGUAGUAUCCACCAACACGAACUGAGCUAGCCAAAUCCUAAAGGACCAAAACGUAAGAUUG